Molecule: non-coding RNA, 78 nt
Organism: Clostridium tetanomorphum DSM 665
Lineage: Bacteria; Bacillati; Bacillota; Clostridia; Eubacteriales; Clostridiaceae
Source: Rfam
UCCACCGUGAGGUAGAAUCUGAAGGAAGCCGAAGGCAAAAUCUUGGUCUGAGGAAUACAAAUUACAUAUAAGGCUUAC